UACGUAGGCACCAAGCGUUGUCCGGAUUUAUUGGGCGUAAAGGGCUCGUAGGCGGCCAACUAAGUCAGACGUGAAAUCCCUCAGCUUAACUGGGGAACUGCGUCUGAUACUGGAUGGCUUGGAUUCGGGAGAGGAAUGCGGAAUUCCAGGUGUAGCGGUGAAAUGCGUAGAUAUCUGGAGGAACACCGGUGGCGAAGGCGGCAUUCUGGACCGACAUUGACGCUGAGGAGCGAAAGCCAGGGGAGCAAACGGG
This 253-nucleotide ribosomal RNA is filed under the name uncultured bacterium. Its description in RNAcentral is "partial 16S ribosomal RNA". It matches the Rfam family "Bacterial small subunit ribosomal RNA", at positions 524 to 776 of the family's 1533-position model. The record is from RNAcentral.